AUCUACAACAUGACAACAGAACAGACAAAUGGUUUCGGAUUUCCGAGUGGUAUGACAAACUGCAUACACUUUGUUUCUUACAAGAUUCGUCUUAGGACAAUAAAAUUUUCUUCAUCCUCAAAAAGCAGUUUUUGCCAUUGGGGUACUAGUGCUCACUGAGAAUGCAUGCUAUAAAAGAUAGAACCAGGACCCAAGAGAGGUGGAUUUGUCUCCAAAGAAUUUUGUGGCAAUGAAAGCUGUCAAAGAAGCAGGUAGUUCCAUAAGGUAGAAAACUUUGUCACUGGAGACAAUUACCUAAAGUUUAAAUAGCAUCAAGGAAACUAUGAAAAGGCUUUCUGAUCUGAUCCUGGAUCUUUCCAAGUCAAGACCUUUCUGACUUCUUGUCUUCAAAGCAGGCUUUUCAUACUCUGUCAAACGCCAUUUAAAAUAUGAAUAGCACUUGGCAUUUGUAUAAGUUUUCCUGCUUUUCAAAAUAUCCAAUGUCUACCACCUCAUUCAAAUACUGCAAGUCUGAUUUUCUAAGCAAUCUUGAAGUAAAUGACACUGUGUCCAACACAAUGGAACCAGGACAGCUGGGUACAAGGACAUUUCUUUGCCUCAGGGACUCAGAGCUCCUCACAAAGUUACACAUUCUAAAAGUGACAGUGGAGGGAAAACUCACAUGUUUGGGCUGAAUUUCAAUUCUGCGUAUGAGUUCUGUAUUGUCCCAGUCAUAGAAAGCUAAGCCGUUUACAGAUCUGACUCCCAAUAAGAAGCCUCCAUAGAUACCUGAAAAGAAAAAAGAUUUUUGGGUAGAUGUUUCUGAGCCAUUGCAAAGCUUCUAAAAAUCUAUCAUUUAUAAAUAGCACUCACUUUCUGCUCCAAAAUCUGGUUUAAAGGAUUUUUUUUCCUUAAAGUUCUUAAAUAUCUUUACAACACUGUUGCUCUCUCUUAUUGCGUAUCUGGGGGGAAACGGAAGGCAAACACAGCAUGUUAUAUACCAAACCAUACUUCCAUCGAAUGUCAGAAAUAUCUUCAGGUAUACUUGAGUAAUGACUUAUGAGUUUCACACUGUCUGUUACACAAAUUAUUAGAGUUUACAAGCUAUUUUAAAAACUGAGAAAGACCCAACAUCCCUCAGUAGAUGAGUGAUUAAACCAACUGUGGUACAUUCAUGCAAUGGAACACUGCUCUG
Long non-coding RNA from Leopardus geoffroyi (Geoffroy's cat), 1174 nucleotides. RefSeq lists it as uncharacterized. Lineage: Eukaryota; Metazoa; Chordata; Mammalia; Carnivora; Felidae. The record is from RefSeq and is a predicted model, not a curated record. The transcript is spliced from 2 exons.